UGGGAGGACGCGCCACUGGAAGAUGCUGGUGUCCUUGCCCCCCAUGGAGAUGAGGAAGCUGUCGUCGUGGGUGAAGCGCACGUUGGUGACGUGGCUCCCGUGGCCCCGGUAGACGUGGCUCGGAGCCUGCAGAAGAAAAGAUGCCUCCUGUUGACAUUUCCAUGCCAGAGCCAAUUAAGGAUGCCCUUGAGACGGUGCAGGCUCUCCCAGGAUCUCUGGAAGGUUUACUGUUUGAUCGAAGGGCUUUCCUGAAAACAGACCGCUCUCAAAGGCAACGUUUAAGAAGUGUCAGAUUAGCAGAGCGAGGCGAUUGUGGCUAAACCCAGUUCUCUUGGGAAGAAUUAGGGAGGCAGGCACCUGGCGCGAUGUUUUUGGCAGCUCAAUUCUCUUGGGAAGUAUUGGGGAGUCAAGCACCUGCUUUGGGGGAAGCUAUGAACUUCAUUAAAAGGCUUGCGCUGAGAAUCUUCUGUGCGGUGUAAACUUAACUUCUGACUGAAAAGCAUCGUCGUAUCUUGUUCCUGAUUUCCAAGCGGCCUGACGGUGCGCUUACUCUGGAGUAGACCGGGUGUUGGUUUACCUUCUUGCCAAGUUGGGACUGCGUUUCAGCUCCUGAACAUCUAGUUUUGCCUUGCCUUGCAAUACGAAUUGGACCUCUAUUCUAAAGGACUCCUCUAGUUCUCUACUCCUUACCCCACUCAAAACUCAGAUGGAGUUUGAGUGUGUUUCGGUUUCUGGAUUUUGAACUCUAAUACUGGGCAUAAGACUUUAUCUUAUUGGACUAAAAUUGAUCUUUCCUGGAAGGUCGAUUGCUACUUCUAUUUUACUGCUUAUUUCCAUUUGGAACUUUAUUUGCUUUAAUAAAAAUAUUAUAUUGUUAUUGGCUUCUGUGUUGGUUCCCAGUGUUUGCGCCGCCCAGGAGUGUUACAUGUGGAAUGUUGGGAGGACUUGUUGCUUUUCCCUUUGCAGGGAACAUGUGUCCGGAGAGUUAUGGUGUUUGGAGUUGUAAAUAGCCUUGUAUAUAAAUAAAGCCUAGUACCGCUGGGAUCAGCAGAUAAUCUACGGCUGUGGUGUUGGGUUUGUCAGUGCUACUGUGCAAGAUUCUCAUCUCUCCCCUGCUCCCACCCUGACAAAAAUGUCCCCGAAUGAAAGCCUUCCCUUGGGUGGUGGGCAGGGUGGUGUUUGAGGAGGGCACUGGCGGGGCUCUUGGACAUGUUCACGCCGCUCACUAUAACUGGGGUGUCUGUGGUGGAGGAAACACACAUCCCAUCCCCCCCUACUUCUGGCUACCUUGGGUUUGGCACACGGGUACUGGAAAAGGUGCACUUUGCAGAAAUCAUCGGCCACGGCCACGACCCGCUCGUUGUGGGACCGGCAGAGAGAGUUGAUGUCGGUGCCGUCGGAGCCGUCGGGCCACACCCCUGCGGAUAACAAUUGGGGAGAAAGGGGGAAUGAGAAAUAAUAAUAAUAAUAAUAAUAAUAAUAAUAAUAAUAAUACAUGCCAGGUUGACCUCGAGAAACUCUACCAGUACAUAAAGUUUGUUAUGUUGGGCAAUAAUAAUAAUAAUACAUGCCAGGUUGACCUCGAGAAACUCCAUCAGUACUUAAAAGUUUGUUAUGUUGGGAAAGAACAACAACAGCAGCAACAACAGCAACAUUAAUAAUAAUACAUGCCAAGUUGACCCCGAGAAACUCCACCAGUACUUAAAGUUUGUUAUGUUGGGCAAUAAUAAUAAUAAUAAUAAUAAUAAUAAUAAUAAUAAUAAUAAUUGUUAUUAUUAUUAUUAUUAUUAUUAUUAUUAAUACAUGCCAGGUUGACCCCGAGAAACUCCAUCAGUACUUAAAAGUCUGCUAUGUUUGGCAAUAAUAAUAAUAAUAAUAAUAAUAAUAAUAAUAAUACAUGCCAGGUUGACUCUGAGAAACUCCAUCAGUACUUAAAAGUUUGUUAUGUUGGGCAAUAAUAAUAAUAAUAACAAUAAUAAUACAUGCCAGGUUGACCCCGUAUCAGUAUGUAAAGUUUGUUAUGUUGGGCAAUAAUAAUAAUAAUAAUAACACAUGCCAGGUUGACCCCGUAUCAGUAUGUAAAGUUUGUUAUGUUGGGCAAUAAUAAUAACAAUAAUAAUACAUGCCAGGUUGACCCCGUAUCAGUAUGUAAAGUUUGUUAUGUUGGGCAAUAAUAAUAAUAAUAAUAAUAAUAAUAAUAAUAAUAAUAAUAAUAAUAAUACAUGCCAGGUUGACCCCGUAUCAGUAUGUAAAGUUUGUUAUGUUGGGCAAUAAUAAUAAUAAUAACAAUAAUAAUACAUGUCAGGUUGACCCCGUAUAAGUAUGUAAAGUUUGUUAUGUUGGGCAAUAAUAAUAAUAAUAAUAAUAAUAAUAAUAAUAAUAAUACAUGCCAGGUUGACCCCGUAUCAGUAUGUAAAGUUUGUUAUGUUGGGCAAUAAUAAUAAUAAUAAUAAUAAUAAUAAUAAUAAUAAUACAUGCCAGGUUGACCCUGAGAAACUCCAUCAGUACUUAAAGUUUGUUAUGUUGGGAUAAUAAUAAUAAUAAUAAUAAUAAUAAUAAUAAUAAUAAUAAUAAUAAAUACAUGCCAGGUUGACCUCGAGAAAUGCCAUCAGUAUGUAAAGUUUGUUAUGCUGGGCAAUAAUAAUAAUAAUAAUAAUAAUAAUAAUAAUAAUAAUAAUAAUAAUACAUGCCAGGUUGACCCCGUAUCAGUAUGUAAAGUUUGUUAUGUUGGGCAAUAAUAAUAAUAAUAAUAAUAAUAAUAAUAAUAAUAAUAAUAAUACAUGCCAGGUUGUCCCCGAGAAACUCCAUCAGUAUGUAAAGUUUGUUAUGUUGGGAUAAUAAUAAUAAUAAUAAUAAUAAUAAAUGCUAGGUUGACCCCGAGAAACUCCAUCAGUACUUAAAGGUUUGUUAUGUUGGGAUAAUAAUAAUAAUAAUAAUAAUAAUAAUAAUAAUAAUAAUAAUAAUACAUGCCAGGUUGACCCCGUAUCAGUAUGUAAAGUUUGUUAUGUUGGGCAAUAAUAAUAAUAAUAGUAAUAGUAAUAAUAAUACAUGCCAGGUUGACCCUGAGAAACCCCAUCAGUACUUAAAGUUUGUUAUGUUGAGAAAGAACAAUAAUAAUAAUAAUAAUAAAUGCCAAGUUGACCCCGAGAAACCCCAUCAGUACUUAAAGUUUGUUAUGUUGGGAAAGAACAAUAAUAAUAAUAAUAAUAAUAAUAAUAAUAAUAAUAAUAAUAAAUGCCAAGUUGACCCCCGAUAAACUCCAUCAGUAUUUAAAGUUUGUUAUGUUGGGAUAAUAAUAAUAAUAAUAAUAAUAAUAAUAAUAAUAAUAAUAAUAAUAAUAAUACAUGCCAGGUUGACCCCGAGAAACUCCAUCAGUACUUAAAAGUUUGUUAUGUUGGACAAUAAUAAUAAUAAUAAUAAUAAUAAUAAUAAUAAUAAUACAUGCCAAGUUCACUCUGAAAAACUCCAUCAUUACGUAAAGUUUGUUAUGCUUCUGAUGCGAUAAAUAAAUAUAACUUUCCUUCCAAACUUACCAAAGACGUGGAAGCCCAGCACACAGGUGUAUGAGCUCCACUCCCGGUCUCGGUUCUCAAACCGGUUCCUGAGCAGCUUGCAGCCUUUGGCCACGUCCCCUGCAGACAAAACAAAAACCACGAGGAAAUUUCUUUAUUUCUGCAGUCCUUACUAACAAGGGAGGGAGCAAGUUUAUGAGCCACCUUGGGAUAAGCAAGAUACUUACAGUAAAGGAUUUCGUAGUCCCCUGAAUUCGACAUGAUGAAUUUCCCAUCCUUGGACCAGUCCAGAUGUGUGAUGAAACUGGAGUGUCCCUAUAAUAAUGGGGAAGAAGAGAAACGGAGGGCUGAUUUGGAGGUACCGUAUAUACUCGAGUAUAAGCCGACCCGAAUAUAAGCCGAGGCACCUAAUUUUACCACAAAGAAACUGGGAAAACAUUGACUCCAGUAUAAGCCGAGGGUGGUAAAUUUCAGAAAUAAAAACAGAUACCGAUAAAAUUACACUAAUUGAGGUAUCAGUAGGUUAAAUGUUUUUGAAUAUUUACAUAAAGCUCUAAUUUAAGAUAAGACUGUCCAACUCUGAUCCAAUCAUUAUUCUCAUCUUCUUCAAUGUAAAUGUGCUUACGUAUCCUUUUAAUAAUAAUAGAGUAAAAUAAUAAAUGUAAUAAUAAAUAAAUAAUCAGCUGAUGACCCAAAAUGCAGACUGUGCAAGGAAACUGACGAAACCAUGGAUCAUAUCCUCAGCUACUGUAAGAAAAUUGCACAGACAGACUACAAACAGAGGCACAACUACAUGGCCCAAAUGAUUCAUUGGGACUUAUGCCUCAAGUACCACCUGCCAGCAGCAAAGAACUGGUGGGAUCACAAACCUGCAAAAGUAUUGGAAAAUGAGCACGCAAAGAUACUUCCGAAUCCAGACUGACAAAGUUCUGGAACACAACACACCAGACAUCACAGUUGUGGAAAAGAAAAAGGUUUGGAUCAUUGAUGUUGCCAUCCCAGGUGACAGUCGCAUUGACGAUAAACAACAGGAAAAACUCAGCCGCUAUCAGGACCUCAAGAUUGAACUUCAAAGACUCUGGCAGAAACCAGUACAGGUGGUCCCGGUGGUGAUGGGCACACUGGGUGCCGUGCCAAAAGAUCUCAGCCGGCAUUUGGAAACAAUAGACAUUGACAAAAUUAAGAUCUGCCAACUGCAAAAGGCCACCCGACUGGGAUCUGCACACAUCAUCCGAAAAUACAUCACACAGUCCUAGACACUUGGGAAGUGUUGGACUUGUGAUUUUGUGAUACCAAAAGCAGCAUAUCUAUUUUGUUUGCUGUGUCAUAAUAAAAUAAUAAUAAUAAUAAAUAGAGUAAAAUAACAAAUAUAACAAUAAUAAUAAGAUCAGAGUGAAAUAAUAAAUGUAUUAAUUAUACAGUAGAGUCUCACUUAUCCAAGCUAAACGGGCCGGCAGAAGCUUGGAUAAGCGAAUAUCUUGGAUAAUAAGGAUUAAGGAAAAGCCUAUUAAACAUCCAAUUAGGUUAUGAUUUUACAAAUUAAGCACCAAAACAUAAUGUUAUACAAUAAAUUUGACAGAAAAAGUAGUUCAAUAGCCAGUAAUGCUAUGUAGUAAUUACUGUGUUUACGAAUUUAGCACCAAAAUAUCAUGAUGUAUUGAAAACAUUGACUGCAAAAAUGUGUCGGAUAAUCCAGAACGUUGGAUAAGUGAGACUCUACUGUAGUAGCAACAAUAAUAGAGAAAAAUAAUAAAUGUAAUAGUAGCAACAAUAAUAGAUUACAAUAAAUGUAAUAGUAGCAACAAUAAUAGAGAAAAAUAAUAAAUGUAAUCAUACCAAUAAUAAUAGAGAAAAAUAAUAAAUGUAACAAUAUCAAUAAUAAUAGAGAAAAAUUAUAAAUGUAACAAUACCAAUAAUAAUAGAGAAAAAUAAUAAAUGUAACAAUACCAAUAAUAAUGGAGAAAAAUAAUAAAUGUAAUAAUACCAACAAUAAUAGAGAAAAAUAAUAAAUGUAAUAAAACCAAAAAGAGAAAAAUAAUAAAUGUAACAAUACCAAUAAUAAUAGAGAAAAAUAAUUAAUGUAAAAUACCAAUAAUAAUAGAGAAAAAUAAUAAAUGUAACAAUACCAACAAUAGAGAAAAAUAAUAAAUGUAACAAUACCAAUAAUAAUAGAGAAAAAUAAUAAAUGUAAUAAUACCAACAAUAAUAGAGAAAAAUAAUAAAUGUAACAAUACCAAUAAUAAUAGAGAAAAAUAAUAAAUGUAAUAAUACCAACAAUAAUAGAGAAAAAUAAUAAAUGUAAUAAUACCAAUAAUAAUAGAGAAAAUAUUAAAUGUAAUAAUAAUAGUAAGAUCAGAGUGAAAUAAAUAUAUUAUUAUUAAUAAUAAUAAUAGAGUAAAAUAAAUGUAAUAGUAGCAACAAUAAUAGAGAAAAAUAAUAAAUGUAAUAUACCAAUAAUAAUAGAGAAAAAUAAUAAAUGUACCAUAUAUUCUCGAGUAUAAGCUGACCCAAAUAUAAGCCAACCAGGACCCUCACCCGAGUAUAAGCCGAGGGGGGCUUAAAAAAAGGGCUGAAAAACUAGGCUUAUACUCGAGUAUAUACAGUAUCUAACUCCAGUUUCUAUUGCAAGAAAGAUAUAAUUCUGCUCACGGUGCAGCGGCCAAAGCGGCUGUAUUUGUGCCCACUCUCCUCCACGUUGUAUAUGUAGAUGAAGUUGUCGUGAGAGCCGAUAGCCAAGAAAUCCCCAUCUGGAAGAAGAGAAAAAACCCAAAGUCAUAAGAAGAGAAGGAUGGAAGUAAAGCACAAGGGCUGGAUUGGGAAAGGAAUAAUAUUCGAGGAGGAAACAAGAGUCUAACCUGGUGAAUAGCGCACCACCGAGAGUUGCUCGUUCCCGUCGGUGUAGCCUGACAGCACUUGCCGGGUCUCGGUGUCUACUACAACCCAACUAUAGGGAAGAAACAAAUAGUAUUUUUAGUGGCUAACUAUGGGCUCUAUAUACACCAGGGGUCCCCAAACUAAGGCCCGGGGACCCUCCGAGGUCAUUUACCUGGCCCCCGCCCUCAGUUUUAUAAUAUAAUAUAUUGUAUAUGCAUAUAAUAUUGAUAAUAAUAUUAUAAUGUAAUACAAUAUAACACUAAUAAUAACACCAUAUAAUAAUAUUAAUUAUAUAUUCUAUAUUACAUAUAAUAUUACUAAUAAUAUUACAGUAUAGUGGUAUAGUUCAAUAUAGUAAUAUAUAAUGCUGAUAUAUAUUGUGCUAUGCUAAUAAUAUAAUAUAUUGUAUAUACAUAUAAUUUGUAAGCCAGUCUGAGUCCCCUUUGGGGUGAGAAGGGUGUGAUACAAAUGUAGUAAAUAAAUGCAGUAAAUAAUAAAUAAAUAAAUUUUAGACUUAGGCUCACCCAAAGUCUGAAAUGACUUGAAGGCACACAACAACAACAACAACAACAACAACAACAACAACAACAACCCUAAUUAACUUGACUAUCUCAUUGGCCAGAAGCAGGACCACACUUCCCAUUGAAAUCCUGAUAAAUGUAUGUUGGUUAAAAUUGUUUUUAUUUUUAAAUAUUGUAUUGUUCUUUCAUUGUUCUUGUUGUUGUUUUUGCACUACAAAUAAGACAUAUGCAGUGUGCAUCGGAAUUUAUUUGUAUUUUUUUCAAAUGAUAAUCCGGCCCCUCAACAGUCUAAAGGAUUGUGGACCGGCCCUCGGCUUAAAAAGUUUGGGGACCCCUGAUAUACACAAUAGGACUGUCCCCAUAGCCAAAAAGGCAGUGCAUAAAAAGCCAAAUUCUAAUCAUUGGGGUGAAAGAAGUCAUUACUGCUCUUUUAUCUACAGCAAUUGCAGUAUUUUAUUGUUUUAAUUGAAUUUAUAAUGUUGUUUUGAUUGUUGAUUGCCUAUGUUUUGUUCCGCACGUGUUGUAUUUUGUGUUUUGUGAGCCAUCCCAAGUCCCCCCGAUGGUGGCGGGGUAUAAUUAUCAUUAUUUAUAUAUUAUAUUAAUUAUCUAUAUAUAUAAAAGGGUAAUGAAAUUUCGGCCUAGGACAAAACAACAAAACUACACAUCCCAGAAACACUAAACUUGGCAGCACAACCCCUCAUCCAUGCCUCUACGUUCAUACAACAAAAAGAAAAGAAAAAGAAAGUCCUAAUUAGAGGGAGAGGAAUAAUUGUUUUUAUCCAAUUGCUGCCAGUUAGAAGGCUAAGCUCUGCCCACUUGGUCUCCUAGCAACCCACUCAGCCCAGGGGACAGGCAGAGUUAGGCCUCACUUAGGCCUCUUCCACACUGCCUAUAAAAUACAGAUUAUCUGAUUUGAACUGGAUUAUAUGGCAGUGUAGACUCAAGGCCCUUCCACACAGCUAUAUAACCCAUUUAUAAUGGACUUCAUGUAAGGUAAAACCUUUACCCUUUACCUUAACUACCACCAAUUCCUCAAUACUUUUAUUUCCCUUUCCACCAGACUUCGCCACAGCAACGUGUGGCCGGGCACAGCUAGUAUAUUAUAUUUUAUGUAAUAUUACUAAUAAUAUUACAAUAUAUUGAUACAGUACAAUAUGGUAAUUUAUUACCAGUAUUGUACUAUGCUAAUAAUAUAAUAUUGUAUGUAAAUUUAAUUUGUAAGCUGCUCUGAGUCCUCUUCGGGGUGAGAAGGGCGGGAUAUAAAUGUAGUAAAUAUAUAUAUAUUAUUACUAUAUAUACUCGAAUAUAAGCCUAGUUUUUCAGCCCUUUUUUUAAGACUGAAAAAGUCCCCCUCGGCUUAUACUCAGGUGAGGGUCCUGGUUGGCUUAUAUUUGGGUCAGCUUAUACUCGAGAACAUAUGGUACAUUUAUUAUUUUUCUCUAUUAUUGUUGCUACUAUUACAUUGAUUUUACUCUAUUAUUAUUAUUAUUAUUAUUAUUAUUAUUAUUAUUAUUAUUAUAUUAUUAUUAUUACAUUUAUUAUUUCACUCUGAUCUUAUUACAGUAGAGUCUCACUUAUCCAACACUCGCUUAUCCAACGUUCUGGAUUAUCCAAGGCAUUUUUGUAGUCAAUGUUUUCAAUAUAUCGUGAUAUUUUGAUGCUAAAUUCAUAAAUAUAGUAAUUACUACAUAGCAUUACUGCGUAUUGAACUACUUUUUCUGCCAAAUUUGUUGUCUAACAUGAUGUUUUGGUGCUUAAUUUGUAAAAUCAUAACCUAAUUUGAUGUUUAGUAGGCUUUUCCUUAAUGCCUCCUUAUUAUCCAACAUAUUCGCUUAUCCAACAUUCUGCUGGCUUAUAUUUGGGUCAGCUUAUACUCGAGAAUAUAUGGUACAUUUAUUAUUUCUCUCUAUUAUUAUUGGUAUUAUUACAUUUAUUAUUUUUCUCUAUUAUUGUUGCUACUAUUACAUUUAUUUUACUCUAUUUUAUUAUUAUUAUUAAUACAUUUAUUAUUUCACUCUAUUUAUUAUUACAUGUAUUAUUUUACUCUAUUAUUAUUAAAAGGAUACAUAACCACAUUGACGUUGAAGAAGAUGAGAAGAAUGAUUGGAUCAGAGUUGGACAGUCUUACCUUAAAUUUGAGCUUUAUGUAAAUAUUCAAAAACAUUGAAGAAGAUGAAAAUAAUGAUUUAAUCAGAGUUAGACAGUCUUAUCUUAAAUUAGAGCUUGAUGUAAAGAUUCAAAAACAUUUAACUUACUGAUGCCUCAAUUAAUGUAAUUUUAUUGAUAUCUAUUUUUGUUUCUGAAAUUUACCACCCUCGGCUUAUACUGGAGUCAAUGUUUUCCCAGUUUUUUGGUGGUAAAAUUAGGUGCCUCGGCUUAUAUUCGGGUCAGCUUAUACUCGAGUAUAUACAGUAUUAUUAUUAUUAUUAUUAUUAUUAUUAUUAUUAUUAUUAUUAUUAUUAUUACCGUCCCGUGCUGAGCCCCACCGUCACCACUUUCCCGCUCGGAUGGAAGUCGGCACAAAGGCCUGUUUCCUAAAAAGAAAAGAGAAAGAGGAACCAUAUGAAGAAACAACAACAACAUUUUUCUGGCAUUUUCUUAUGGGUACCUUAAAAGAAUUCUCCGCUUUUUAAGAGCGGUACCUAUAGUAGAGUCUCACUUAUCCAACAUUCGCUUAUCCAAUGUUCUGGAUUAUCCAACACAUUUUUGUAGUCAGUUUUCAAUACAUCAUGAUAUUUUGGUGCUAAAUUCCCCCCUCUCCCCGCCAAGGUCUAACUGCCAAUCUGGACCAGAAUGAAGAAGACGGGGCCAGGAAGACAUCUUUCCACCAUGUCUCCUGUAUCAAUUUAAUGAUAUAAUAAUAUAUAAUAAUAUUAUACUACAUUAAUAUUAUAAUAUAUUGUACUAGCUGUGCCCGGCCACACGUUGCUGUGGCAAAGUAUGGUGGUAUAGGAAAUAAAGUAUUGAGGAAGUGGUGGUAGUUAAGGUAAAGAGUAAAGGUGUGGAGUCCAGAGAAUCCAGUUAAAGCAGAUAAUCUAUAUAUAUAUAAAAGAGUGAUGGCAUCACGGCAGUGGACAAAACAACAAAAGUAAACACCCCACAACCUCGAAAAUUGACAGCACAACCCCUCAUCCAUGCCUCUAGGUUGAUACAACAAAAAGAAAAGAAAAAUAAAGUCCUAAUUAUAAGGAGAGGAAUAAUUGUUUUUAUCGAAUUGCUGCCAGUUAGAAGGCUAAGCUCCGCUAACUUGGUUUCCUAGCAACCCACUGAGCCCAGGGGACCCUUUACCUUAACUAUCACCAAUUCCUCAAUACUUUAUUUCCCAUACCACCAUACUUUGCCACAGCAACGCGUGGCCGGGCACAGCUAGUAUAAGAUUAUAAAUGGGUUAUAUAGCUGUGUGGAAGGGCCUUGAGUCUACACUGCCAUAUAAUCCAGUUAAGAUCUGAUAAUUUGUAUUUUAUAGGCAGUGUGGAAGAGGCCUAAGUGAGGCCUAACUCUGCCUGUCCCCUGGGUGAGUGGGUUGCAAGGGGACCAAGUGGGCGGAGCUUAGCCUUCUAACUGGCAGCAAUUGGAUAAAAACAAUUAUUCCUCUCCUUCUAAUUAGGACUUUAUUUUUCUUUUCUUUUUGUUGUAUCAACCUAGAGGCGUGGAUGAUGGGUUGUGUUGUCAAUUUUGGAGGUUGGGGGGGUGUUUAGUUUUGUUGUUUUGGCGGCCGCCAGGAUUCCAUCACUCUUUUAUAUAUAUAGAUAUACAUGUAAUAUUAUUAAUAAUAUUAUGAUGCAAUACAAUGUAAUCAGUUGAAACUCGAACUAUCCAAGACCUACUUGCCUUUCGGAAAGCCUGCAAAACCUUUCUCUUCCGACAAGCUUUCGAUGGGUGAAAAACUCAGGGCUAUGUCUAUUUCUAUUGUUAUUUUAAAGCUAAUUGUAUUGUUUUAAUCUAUUUCUGUAAACUCCUCCGAGCCAAACUGGGAGUAGCGGUAUACAAAUCUAAUAAAUAAAUAAAUAAAUAAAAUAAUUGUAUAUUUAUAUUGCAUGCAAUAUUACUAAUAAUAUUGCAAUAUAGUUGUAUAAUAUAAUAUAUUGUGUGUAUAUAUACUUGUAAAUAUACUGAGUCCCCUUCGGGGUGAGAAGGGCGGGAUAUCAAUGUCGCAAAUAAAUAAAUAAUAAAUAAAUAAAUACAGUAAGUAGUACGUAGUAUUACUGCGUAUUGAACUACUGUCAAAUUUGUUGUAUAACAUGAUGUUUUGGUGCUUAAUUUGUAAAAUCAUAACCUAAUUUGAUGUUUAAUAGGCUUUUCCUUAAUCCCUCCUUAUUAUCCAACAUAUUCGCUUAUCCAACAUUCUGCCGGCCCGUUUUUGUUGGAAAAGUGAGACUCUACUGUAUAACCUGAAGUCUAAGGAUUCCUAUAAACAUAAAUCAUAACAACUCAAUAUUACUUCUUGACAAAUGUUCGUCUCAGUUUGUUCCAAUCGGUCCAUUGUCUUGGCAAAAUGCUCUGUGAUACUUUUUGUGUUAAUAAAUCCAUAUGUUUAAUGUCAAUUAGCUUCAGCAUCCAUUUUUCUGUUGUAGGAAUUUCUUGUGUUUUCCAUAGUUUGGCGAUGCAUAUCCUGGCGGCUGUUACCAUGUAUAUAAAAAGUUUUUCCGUGUUGGAGUCCAUUUGAAAAUUGACCAUACCUAAUAGAAAAUAUUCUGGUUUUGUAUUAAAUUUGAUUUGGAGUAUUUUCUUGCCCAGUCUGCUAGGUUGAUCGUAUGACCUAUUUCUCUUGCCCAUUUUGUCAUGACCACUUUUACUUGAUCAUCCUCAGUGUCCCAUCCCAACAGUUGUUGGUAUAAUAUUUUUAUUAUUUUUAUUUCUGUUUUUAGUAUUCUAUCCCAGCAUGUUUCUUUUAGUUCAAAACCUAUUUUUCUAUCCUCUUGGAAGAUUCCCCUUAUUUGCCAAAAGUUUAGCCAUGUCAUUGUGGGUUAGAUUUUUUUUUAAUCUCUUCAUAUGAUUUAAGGCUAACCUCUUGGUUUUCCACUCUUACCGUAGUAUAAAAUAAAUGGUCAUUUUUUCCAACUAUAAAUGUGAAUUCUUCUUCAUGGAAAAAUAAGACAUCCCCUGAAAAUAAGACCUAGCACAUCUUUGGGAGCAAAAAUUAAUAUAAGACACUGUCAUGUUUUCGGGGAAACAUGGUAAUAUUUGCCUGUAAGUCAACCAUGUUUUCCUUGAAACAAGGGAAACAUUGCUGGUCCGUUUAUGUUGGAUAAGUGAGACUCUACUGCAGGGGUCCCCAAACUAAGGCCCGGGGGCCAGAUGCGACCCAUCGAAGCCAUUUAUCCGGCCCACACGGCACAAGGGCAGAAUGGGGUUGGGCUAAAUGACCCAAGAGGUCCCUUCUUCUCUUACAACCCUUAUUAUUAUUAUUAUUAUUAUUAUUAUUAUUAUUAUUAUUAUUAUUAUUGACAUUGAUUCUGGGUGGCUAUCUGUCAGGGAUGCUUUGCUUGUGCUUAUGGUGCACAGAGGCAGAAGGGGGUUGGACUAAAUGGCCCAAGAGGUCUCUUCCAACCCUCUUUAUUAUUAUUAUUAUUAUUAUUAUUAUUAUUAUUAUUAUUAUUAUUAUUAUUAACAUUGAUUCUGGGUGGUCAUCUGUCAGGGGUGCUUUGCUUGUGCUUUCGGUGCACAAAGGCAAAGGGGGAUUGGACUCAAUGGCCCAAAGGGUCUCUUCCAACCCUCUUAUUUAUUAUUAUUAUUGUUACAGUAGAGUCUCACUUAUCCAACAUAAACGGGCCGGCAGAAUGUUGGAUAAGCGAAUAUGUUGGAUAAUAAGGAGGCAUUAAGGAAACGCCUAUUAAAUAUCAAAUUAGGUUAUGAUUUUACAAGUGAAGCACCAAAACAUCAUUUUAGACAACAAAUUUGGCAGAAAAAGUAGUUCAAUACGCAGUAACGCUAUGUAGUAAUUUCUGUAUUUAUGAAUUUAGCACCAAAAUAUCAUGAUAUAUUGAAAACAUUGACUACAAAAAUGUGUUGGAUAAUCCAGAAUGUUGGAUAAGUGAGUGUUGGAUAAGUGAGACUCUACUGUAUUAUUAUUAUUAUUAUUAUUGCUCGGUAGCCAACUAUAGUCCGGCCCUCCAAUGGUCCGAAGGAUCGUGAACUGGCCCCCUGUUUAAAAAGUUUGGGGACCCCUGCUCUACUGUAUUCAUCUACUCACAUUUUGCUUUCGAGCCGCUAGGUAGGUGGAAGCCGGGCUACAGGCCAGGAGCUCACCCUGUGUUAUGAUUGAGCCUCAUGGCUCUGUUACUGGCAGACGUGGGCGUAAGACUCCUCGAGAGUCAGAUACUCUCGAGGAGCGAGAAAGAAAGAGGCUGCGAGAUAUCUUUGCAGAACCAUCUGACGAGGAUUCUUUUGAGGGGUUUACGGAGAGAAUGGAGGAAGAGCUGGUUAGCUCGGAAGAGGAUGAGAUGGAUUGGACUCGGGUAAGGGAGGAAUUGGGUGCCACUGGCAAUGAUGGGAUGGAAGAUGAUUGGGGACCUUCAGGACUAGACCCAUGGACAAGCUGGAGGGAUGGGACGGGAUCCACAGCUGGGGAUGCUGUGGGGCGUAGUCAGAGGUGUUCCAGUUCUGAUGAGGAAAGUGAUGAGGAAACGCCCGGGUUAAGGAGAACAGCUGAUAGUGAUGAGGACUUGUAACUGGCAUAAAAUGGGGUUUGGGAGCAAUUGCAAAUUGCGUUGGGCAAGGUAAUCUGGACGAACGCUUGGGAUCUGUGUGGGACGUUUUCCUGAAGACGGGUGUGUUUCGUGUGCUGACUACGUAAGUUGUUUUGGAAUUUGGGUUCAGACGGCGGGAGGAAUUGUGUGGGCUUUUGUUUGUGCAACCUCUGCUUAAUCUCAAUAGCUUUGACCUUCCGUCGUCUUCUUGACGGACGCCAUCUGCUACUCUGGAUUUACGGACUGAACUGACUACGGGCUCGGAUUCUCCUACCUGGACUUGGUGAACUACAAACGUCUGCUUCUGCCUAUCGACCUUCGGAAAGAACUGGGACUACGCUACUGCUUCAAUCCUCGGCUGUUGUGUUUGUAUUGGGAAUUUGCCUGCUGUGUGGAGGAGUGACUUCUAAGUUACUCAAAACAUAGUGCUGGCAGCAGAGAGGCAUCUGCUGCCAAUUAGUUACAUUCUUUUGAACUCUUUGUUCCCCAGCUUCUGUUUUGUUUAUUCCCAGGCUGAAGCAAGCUGUUUUGAUUUUACCCGGAUUAUACUCCGGUUUAAUCCGGUUUAACUUUUGAAUGUUUUUCUUGCCCCUUUUUGCUUUUUAAGGCCAGCGUUGCCUAGCCCUUGUCUUUUACGGGCAUUUUGAGUUCUGUAAAUCCAAUAAACUCUGUUAUCUUUGA
Anolis carolinensis (green anole) is the source of this 14277-nucleotide long non-coding RNA. RefSeq lists it as uncharacterized. NCBI's taxonomy places the organism in Eukaryota, Metazoa, Chordata, Lepidosauria, Squamata, Anolidae. The transcript is spliced from 2 exons. The record is from RefSeq and is a predicted model, not a curated record.